This 253-nucleotide ribosomal RNA is filed under the name uncultured bacterium. Its description in RNAcentral is "partial 16S ribosomal RNA". It matches the Rfam family "Bacterial small subunit ribosomal RNA", at positions 524 to 776 of the family's 1533-position model. The record is from RNAcentral.
UACGAAGGCGGCAAGCGUUAUCCGGAAUUACUGGGCGUAAAGGGUGCGUAGGCGGGGAGGCAAGUCAGAUGUGAAAGCCCGGGGCUUAACCUCGGAGCGGCAGUUGAAACUGUCUUUCUUGAGUGUGGGAGAGGACAGUGGAAUUCCCAGUGUAGCGGUGAAAUGCGUAGAUAUUGGGAGGAACACCAGUGGCGAAGGCGGAUGUCUGGGCGAUAACUGACGCUGAGGCACGAAAGCGAGGGGAGCAAACGGG